UUACAGUUUCUUCUGAGUGUGCCGCAAGGCAAAAUACAAAUGAAUCAAAACUUUCAACAACGGAUCUCUUGGUUCUGGCAUCGAUGAAGAACGCAGCGAAAUGCGAUAAGUAAUGUGAAUUGCAGAAUUCAGUGAAUCAUCGAAUCUUUGAACGCACAUUGCGCCCGCCAGAAUUCUGGCGGGCAU
This 186-nucleotide ribosomal RNA is filed under the name Parengyodontium album. Its description in RNAcentral is "5.8S ribosomal RNA". The stretch from base 49 to 186 matches the Rfam family "5.8S ribosomal RNA", at positions 1 to 138 of the family's 154-position model. Rfam says of the family: 5.8S ribosomal RNA (5.8S rRNA) is a component of the large subunit of the eukaryotic ribosome. It is transcribed by RNA polymerase I as part of the 45S precursor that also contains 18S and 28S rRNA. Lineage: Eukaryota; Fungi; Ascomycota; Sordariomycetes; Hypocreales; Cordycipitaceae. The record is from RNAcentral.